UACGAAGGGGGCGAGCGUUGUUCGGAUUUACUGGGCGUAAAGGGCGCGCAGGCGGCGCAUCAAGUCAGGCGUGAAAGCCCCGGGCUUAACCUGGGAACUGCGUCUGGGACUGGUGGGCUAGAGAUCGGGAGAGGAGAGUGGAAUUCCCAGUGUAGAGGUGAAAUUCGUAGAUAUUGGGAAGAACACCAGUGGCGAAGGCGGCUAUCUGGACGGUUUCUGACACUAAGACACGAAAGCGUGGGGAGCAAACAGGG
RNAcentral lists this ribosomal RNA (254 nucleotides) under uncultured bacterium. Its description in RNAcentral is "partial 16S ribosomal RNA". It matches the Rfam family "Bacterial small subunit ribosomal RNA", at positions 524 to 777 of the family's 1533-position model. The record is from RNAcentral.